RNAcentral lists this ribosomal RNA (600 nucleotides) under uncultured bacterium. Its description in RNAcentral is "bacterial SSU rRNA". It matches the Rfam family "Bacterial small subunit ribosomal RNA", at positions 877 to 1482 of the family's 1533-position model. The record is from RNAcentral.
GGAGUACGGCCGCAAGGUUGAAACCCAAAGGAAUUGACGGGGACCCGCACAAGCGGUGGAUGAUGUGGUUUAAUUCGAUGCAACGCGAAAAACCUUACCCACCUUUGACAUGUACGGAAGUUACCAGAGAUGGUUUCGUGCUCGAAAGAGAACCGUAACACAGGUGCUGCAUGGCUGUCGUCAGCUCGUGUCGUGAGAUGUUGGGUUAAGUCCCGCAACGAGCGCAACCCUCGCCAUUAGUUGCUACGAAAGGGCACUCUAAUGGGACUGCCGGUGACAAACCGGAGGAAGGUGGGGAUGACGUCAAGUCCUCAUGGCCCUUACAGGCUGGGCUACACACGUGCUACAAUGGCGGUGACAAUGGGACGCGAAGCCGCGAGGCCGAGCAAAUCUCCAAAAGCCGUCUCAGUUCGGAUUGCACUCUGCAACUCGAGUGCAUGAAGUUGGAAUCGCUAGUAAUCGUAGAUCAGAACGCUACGGUGAAUACGUUCCCGGGCCUUGUACACACCGCCCGUCACACCAUGGGAGUUGGCUUUACCCGAAGGCGUCUCGCUAACCGCAAGGAGGCAGGCGACCACGGUAGGGUCAGCGACUGGGGUG